Molecule: ribosomal RNA, 237 nt
Filed under: uncultured Staphylococcus sp.
Lineage: Bacteria; Bacillati; Bacillota; Bacilli; Caryophanales; Staphylococcaceae
Description: partial 16S ribosomal RNA
Rfam family: Bacterial small subunit ribosomal RNA
Source: RNAcentral
CGGGUGAGUAACACGUGGAUAACCUACCUAUAAGACUGGGAUAACUUCGGGAAACCGGAGCUAAUACCGGAUAAUAUUUUGAACCGCAUGGUUCAAAAGUAAAAGACGGUCUUGCUGUCACUUAUAGAUGGAUCCGCGCUGCAUUAGCUAGUUGGUAAGGUAACGGCUUACCAAGGCAACGAUGCAUAGCUGACCUGAGAGGGUGAUCGGCCACACUGGAACUGAGACACGGUCCAG